RNAcentral lists this ribosomal RNA (253 nucleotides) under uncultured bacterium. RNAcentral's name for it is "partial 16S ribosomal RNA". It matches the Rfam family "Bacterial small subunit ribosomal RNA", at positions 524 to 775 of the family's 1533-position model. The record is from RNAcentral.
UACGUAGGGGACGAGCGUUGUCCGGAGUGAUUGGGCGUAAAGGGCCCGCAGGCGGCCCUCCGCGUUUGAGGUAACAGCUCCCGGCUUCACUGGGAGAGCGCCUUGAAGACGGGAGGACUCAGAGGACCAGAGAGGGACACCGAAUUCCGGGUGGAGUGGUGAAAUGCGUAGAGAUCCGGAGGAAGACCGAUGGCGAAGGCCGUGUCCUGGCUGGUACCUGACGCUCAGGGGCGAAAGCUAGGGGAGCGAACGG